Molecule: ribosomal RNA, 352 nt
Filed under: uncultured eukaryote
Lineage: Eukaryota
Description: SSU rRNA
Rfam family: Eukaryotic small subunit ribosomal RNA
Source: RNAcentral
AGCUCCAAUAGCGUAUAUUAAAGUUGUUGCGGUUAAAAAGCUCGUAGUUGGAUUUCUGUUGAGGAUGGGCGGUCCGCACUUUGUGCGUGUAUCUGUUACAGCCUCGGCAUCCUCUUGAAGAACGGUGCUGUGAUUCAUUUCGUGGUCCGGAAUUCAAGACUUUUACUUGAGGAAAUUCGAGUGUUCACAGCAGGCAAUCGCCCUGAAGAUAUUAGCAUGGAAUAAUAAUAUAGGACCUUGGUUCUAUUUUGUUGGUUUCUAGGACUGAGGUAAUGAUUAAUAGGGAUAUUUGGGGGCAUUCGUACUAACCGGUCAGAGGUGGAAUUCUUGGAUUCGGUUAUGACGAACGACU